GGGCUCGGUUGUUCAUGAUUUUUCCACUGUUCCUGCAUCUUCUUCGCAGCGACGCCGAGUUCCCAUUCCACCUUCAGAUCCAAGAGCUUACCUUCUUCAUCAUCGACGAUCAUUGAGCUGCCCGCGUUCAUCGUCUGAGGAAGAGGGUGUUUCCCCAAGAUCUGCGAUCUCCAUUAGCAAACGGAGCUCGAAGGGGGUUUCCCAGAAGCAUCUGAUUUCAUUCCAUCUUCAGUCCAUCUGCUAAACUCGAAUUCAAUUGAUCAAUCGAUCGAGUGAUGCAAAAUUCUAGAAUUGAGCUACUGUUCUUCGUGCGAUGUGAGUGUCAUCCAAUCCGUGAGCCUGAAGGGUGUUUCCCAAAGGAUGUGAUCGAGAGGAUGCAUUAGCCGGAAGCUUGGUUCUUUGUCGGUGGUCACCCGAAGGGUGUUCUCAGAGGUGACUCUGUUUUUCUAGCAGAAUGAAGAAGAUCUGAUCCGGAUUUGGUUUGUGGAAUGUUUAGGGUUUAGUUUUCUUUAUUUUUGUCCUUGAUUUGUUCUUGAAUCUGCUCAGAUCCUAUGAUCUGAUUUUUACUUUUGCAAUUCAAUUUUUAUUUGAAUUUCUGAAACCCAAAUCUUAUUUCUGCAUCUUAUUAAUUUGCAAUUUAUGUUCA
Zingiber officinale is the source of this 646-nucleotide long non-coding RNA. RefSeq lists it as uncharacterized. The transcript is spliced from 2 exons. Lineage: Eukaryota; Viridiplantae; Streptophyta; Magnoliopsida; Zingiberales; Zingiberaceae. The record is from RefSeq and is a predicted model, not a curated record.